UACGGAGGGGGCUAGCGUUGUUCGGAAUUACUGGGCGUAAAGCGCACGUAGGCGGACUAUUAAGUCAGGGGUGAAAUCCCGGGGCUCAACCCCGGAACUGCCUUUGAUACUGCUAGUCUCGAGUCCGGAAGAGGUGAGUGGAAUUCCGAGUGUAGAGGUGAAAUUCGUAGAUAUUCGGAGGAACACCAGUGGCGAAGGCGGCUCACUGGUCCGGUACUGACGCUGAGGUGCGAAAGCGUGGGGAGCAAACAGG
RNAcentral lists this ribosomal RNA (253 nucleotides) under uncultured bacterium. RNAcentral's name for it is "partial 16S ribosomal RNA". It matches the Rfam family "Bacterial small subunit ribosomal RNA", at positions 524 to 776 of the family's 1533-position model. The record is from RNAcentral.